UACGUAGGGUGCAAGCGUUGUCCGGAAUUAUUGGGCGUAAGGAGCUCGUAGGCGGUUUGUCGCGUCGAAUGUGAAAACCCGGGGCUCAACCCCGGGCCUGCAUUCGAUACGGGCAGACUAGAGUUCGGUAGGGGAGUCUGGAAUUCCUGGUGUAGCGGUGAAAUGCGCAGAUAUCAGGAGGAACACCGGUGGCGAAGGCAGAUCUCUGGGCCGUAACUGACGCUGAGGAGCGAAAGCAUGGGGAGCGAACAGG
RNAcentral lists this ribosomal RNA (253 nucleotides) under uncultured bacterium. RNAcentral's name for it is "partial 16S ribosomal RNA". It matches the Rfam family "Bacterial small subunit ribosomal RNA", at positions 524 to 776 of the family's 1533-position model. The record is from RNAcentral.